UUUAGCAAAUCUCUUAAAGCCGUUCUCAGUUCGGAUUGUAGGCUGCAACUCGCCUACAUGAAGUCGGAAUCGCUAGUAAUCGCGGAUCAGCAUGCCGCGGUGAAUACGUUCCCGGGCCUUGUACACACCGCCCGUCACACCAUGAGAGUUUGUAACACCCAAAGCCGGUGGGGUAACCUUUUGGAGCCAGCCGUCUAAGGUGGGACAGAUGAUUGGGGUGAAGUCGUAACAAGGUACC
RNAcentral lists this ribosomal RNA (238 nucleotides) under uncultured bacterium. Its description in RNAcentral is "partial 16S ribosomal RNA". It matches the Rfam family "Bacterial small subunit ribosomal RNA", at positions 1263 to 1500 of the family's 1533-position model. The record is from RNAcentral.